GUCUCUGUGGUGCAAUUGGUUUAACGCAUUCGGCUGUUGAUUGAAAGGUUGGUAGUUCAAGCACAGCUGUGGAUG
Non-coding RNA from Danionella cerebrum, 75 nucleotides. The record is from the annotation of a GenBank genome assembly. NCBI's taxonomy places the organism in Eukaryota, Metazoa, Chordata, Actinopteri, Cypriniformes, Danionidae.